ACCUCAUGGUUUGGACAAUUUGCCAAUUUUUCGUUGAAUCUUUCCCAUGCUUCAAAUAAUGGUUCCCCACUCAAUUACCUAAAAUUUAUGAUCUCAUCCUGCAUUU
Molecule: non-coding RNA, 106 nt
Organism: Capsicum annuum
Lineage: Eukaryota; Viridiplantae; Streptophyta; Magnoliopsida; Solanales; Solanaceae
Source: Rfam